Molecule: non-coding RNA, 620 nt
Filed under: Pallaseopsis kessleri
Lineage: Eukaryota; Metazoa; Arthropoda; Malacostraca; Amphipoda; Pallaseidae
Source: RNAcentral
AUUUAACGUGGGUUUUUGGGCAGUCUUAGUAGGAAGGGCAUGCGGGGUUUGCGUUAUGUAGCCCAGAUUAUUAUUAGGUCUACUAUUAAAAGAGGUGAAGUGGGUGCCAGCAUCUGCGGUUACACCCUAUCUUAAUGCCCAAUUCAGGUUAGCUCUUUUUUCAAGCAUGCCUUUGUUUAUGGUGGAAUAAGAUUAGGUUUAAUUUUGUUACACAGGUCAGGCUUAGGAGAACCAGGAUUAGAGACCCUGCUACUAUUUAUGGUCCCUAAUGAUUAUAGUUAUAAGUUACAUGGUUUGGCGGCUUAGCUAGCUUAGAGGAGUUUGCUGUUAAUCGACAAAGCUCGCUAGCUCUUGUCUAUUUUAUUUAUGUACACCGUCAUUUAGUUAAUUUUGUUAGGAUAAUUAAGGUAGUUAGUUAAGUAAGUUAGAUCAAGGUGCAGAGCAGGUAGGUCUAGUUAACUACAAUAUAAAUUUAUACUAUAGGCGUAAUAAGGUAAACAUUGAUAAGUGGAUUUAAAUGUAAUUAAGUCUAUUUGAUUUUACUUGUUAAGUGUACAAAUUGCCCGUCAAUCUCUCAGAGAUAAGUCGAAACAAAGUAGUAAUAUCGGAAGGUACUUCUA